GAUGAAGAACGCAGCGAAAUGCGAUAAGUAGUGUGAAUUGCAGAAUUCAGUGAAUCAUCGAAUCUUUGAACGCACAUUGCGCCCCUUGGUAUUCCAUGGGGCAUGCCUGUUCGAGCGUCAUUUGUACCUUCAAGCUUUGCUUGGUGUUGGGUGUUUGUCUCGCCUUUGCGUGUAGACUCGCCUUAAAAUAAUUGGCAGCCGGCGUAUUGAUUUCGGAGCGCAGUACAUCUCGCGCUUUGCACUCAUAACGACAGCGUCCAAAAGUACAUUUUACACUCUUGACCUCGGAUCAGGUAGGGACACCCGCUGAACUUAAGCAUAUCAAUAAGCGGAGGA
Molecule: unclassified non-coding RNA, 336 nt
Filed under: soil metagenome
Description: partial contains 5.8S ribosomal RNA, internal transcribed spacer 2, and large subunit ribosomal RNA
Rfam family: 5.8S ribosomal RNA (bases 1-120)
Source: RNAcentral